UGUUCGUCGCUCUGGGGGUGGUCGCACCGAGGGGCAGCAUCGCUCCGUGGGCAGGCAACCUCAACGUGAAAAACACAAGGAUUUGAGGAGUGUGAAGCAAAUUCGCAAAUUAAAGAUGUAGCACUUCUGACAAAUGCCUGCAGUAGCUCAUGUCCUGUGAGAAGAUUUAUCUCCAGACCUAGAGGUUCCCUUCAGGAACACUCCAGGGACACUUUCACCAGCACCACCAUCUAAUAUUAGUUUUAUUACAGGCAGAGAACAGAGAGAGCUGCCAAAGAGGAGAUCAAGGGAUGGGUUGAUGUUCAACCAGAGGAGAAUUUAACAGUCCAAGGUGU
This 335-nucleotide long non-coding RNA is filed under the name Manacus vitellinus (golden-collared manakin). RNAcentral's name for it is "lncRNA (ENSMVIG00005010552.1)". The record is from RNAcentral. Lineage: Eukaryota; Metazoa; Chordata; Aves; Passeriformes; Pipridae.